AUUGAACGCUGGCGGCGUGCCUAACACAUGCAAGUCGAGCGGUAACAGGCGUAGCAAUACGUGCUGACGAGCGGCGAACGGGUGAGCAAUGCUUCGGAAUCUGCCCAAUGAUGGGGAAUAACCAGUCGAAAGAUUGGCUAAUACCGCAUAAGCCCUUCGGGGGAAAGCGGGGGUCGCAAGACCUCGCGUCGAUGGAUGAGCCGAAGUCGGAUUAGCUAGUUGGUAGGGUAACGGCCUACCAAGGCGACGAUCCGUAGCUGGUCUGAGAGGACGACCAGCAAAGCGGGGACGGAGAGACGGCCCAGACCCCUACGGGAGGCAGCAGUGGGGAAUAUGGGACAAUGGGGGCAACCCGGAUCCAGGGACGCGGCGUGUGUGAAGAAGGCCUGCGGGUUGUAAAGCACUUUUAGUGGGGAUGAAAAGCACAUUGCUAAUACAAGUGUGUCUUGACCUAACCCAAAGAAAAAGCACCGGCUAACUCUGUGCCAGCCGCCGCCGUAA
This 501-nucleotide ribosomal RNA is filed under the name uncultured bacterium. RNAcentral's name for it is "partial 16S ribosomal RNA". It matches the Rfam family "Bacterial small subunit ribosomal RNA", at positions 29 to 523 of the family's 1533-position model. The record is from RNAcentral.